RNAcentral lists this ribosomal RNA (465 nucleotides) under uncultured bacterium. RNAcentral describes it as "partial 16S ribosomal RNA". It matches the Rfam family "Bacterial small subunit ribosomal RNA", at positions 28 to 507 of the family's 1533-position model. The record is from RNAcentral.
GAUGAACGCUGGCGGCGUGCUUAACACAUGCAAGUCGAACGGAAAGGCUCCUGCUUGCAGGGGUACUCGAGUGGCGAACGGGUGAGUAACACGUGGGUGAUCUGCCCUGCACUUCGGGAUAAGCCUGGGAAACUGGGUCUAAUACCGGAUAGGACGAUGGUUUCGAUGCCAUUGUGGAAAGCUUUUCGGUGUGGGAUGAGCUCGCGGCCUAUCUGCUUGUUGGUGGGGUAAUGGCCUACCAAGGCGUCGACGGGUAGCCGGCCUGAGAGGGUGUACGGUCACAUUGGGACUGAGAGACGGCCCAGACUCCUACGGGAGACAGCAGUGGGGAAUAUUGCACAAUGGGCGCAAGCCUGAUGCAGCGACGCCGCGUGGGGGAUGACGGCCUUCGGGUUGUAAACACCUUUCGCUAGGGACGAAGCGGAAGUGACGGUACCUGGAGAAGAAGCACCGGCUAACUACGUG